RNAcentral lists this transfer RNA (67 nucleotides) under Okanagana bella. RNAcentral's name for it is "tRNA-Arg". The record is from RNAcentral. Lineage: Eukaryota; Metazoa; Arthropoda; Insecta; Hemiptera; Cicadidae.
AAGUAUUGAAGUAAAAAAUUUACAUUUAGUUUCGACCUAAUUAAAGAAAUUUAGUUUUCCUUGCUUA